Molecule: ribosomal RNA, 253 nt
Filed under: uncultured bacterium
Lineage: Bacteria
Description: partial 16S ribosomal RNA
Rfam family: Bacterial small subunit ribosomal RNA
Source: RNAcentral
GACGGAGGGUGCUAGCGUUGUUCGGAAUGACUGGGCGUAAAGGGCGCGUAGGCGGCCGCUUGCGUCGGAUGUGAAAGCCCGGGGCUCAACCCCGGAACUGCAUCCGAUACGGGGCGGCUCGAGACCGAGAGAGGUGAGUGGAAUACCCAGUGUAGAGGUGAAAUUCGUAGAUAUUGGGUGGAACACCGGUGGCGAAGGCGGCCAUCUGGACGGAUACUGACGCUGAGACGCGAAAGCGUGGGUAGCAAACAGG